AGUGAACGCUGGCGGUAGGCCUAACACAUGCAAGUCGAACGGCAGCACAGUAAGAGCUUGCUCUUACGGGUGGCGAGUGGCGGACGGGUGAGGAAUACAUCGGAAUCUACUUUUUCGUGGGGGAUAACGUAGGGAAACUUACGCUAAUACCGCAUACGACCUACGGGUGAAAGCAGGGGAUCUUCGGACCUUGCGCGAUUGAAUGAGCCGAUGUCGGAUUAGCUAGUUGGCGGGGUAAAGGCCCACCAAGGCGACGAUCCGUAGCUGGUCUGAGAGGAUGAUCAGCCACACUGAAACUGAGACACGGUCCAGACUCCUACGGGAGGCAGCAGUGGGGAAUAUUGGACAAUGGGCGCAAGCCUGAUCCAGCCAUACCGCGUGGGUGAAGAAGGCCUUCGGGUUGUAAAGCCCUUUUGUUGGGAAAGAAAAGCAGCAGGUUAAUACCCCGCUGUUCCGACGGUACCCAAAGAAUAAGCACCGGCUAACUUCGUG
RNAcentral lists this ribosomal RNA (492 nucleotides) under uncultured bacterium. RNAcentral describes it as "partial 16S ribosomal RNA". It matches the Rfam family "Bacterial small subunit ribosomal RNA", at positions 29 to 507 of the family's 1533-position model. The record is from RNAcentral.